CUGGCUCAGGAUGAACGCUAGCGGCAGGCUUAACACAUGCAAGUCGAGGGGCAGCGGGAUGUAGCAAUACAUUGCCGGCGACCGGCGGAUGGGUGCGUAACGCGUAUGCAACCUACCUUAUACAGGGGAAUAACCUUUCGAAAGGGAGACUAACACCCCAUGGUAUUGAUUUAAGGCAUCUUAGAUUAAUUAAAUAUUUAUAGGUAUAAGAUGGGCAUGCGUAUGAUUAGCUAGUUGGUAAGGUAACGGCUUACCAAGGCGACGAUCAUUAGGGGUUCUGAGAGGAAGGUCCCCCACACUGGUACUGAGACACGGACCAGACUCCUACGGGAGGCAGCAGUGAGGAAUAUUGGUCAAUGGGCGCAAGCCUGAACCAGCCAUGCCGCGUGCAAGGAAGACGGCCUUAUGGGUUGUAAACUGUCUUUUACAUAAGACUAACCGUAUAUUUGCGAAUAUACCUGAAUGUAUUAUGAGAAUAAGGAUCGGCUAACUCCGUGCCAGCAGCCGC
Molecule: ribosomal RNA, 508 nt
Filed under: uncultured bacterium
Lineage: Bacteria
Description: bacterial SSU rRNA
Rfam family: Bacterial small subunit ribosomal RNA
Source: RNAcentral